RNAcentral lists this microRNA precursor (90 nucleotides) under Nomascus leucogenys (northern white-cheeked gibbon). RNAcentral describes it as "miRNA (ENSNLEG00000036264.1)". The record is from RNAcentral. Lineage: Eukaryota; Metazoa; Chordata; Mammalia; Primates; Hylobatidae.
GGCGUGGUGGCGGGCGCCUGUGAUCCCAGCUACUCGGGAGGCUGAGGCAGGAGAAUCGCUUGAACCGGGGAGGCGGAGGUGGCAGUGAGC